CCUCAGAGCCCAUACGGGUGAAAUGUGAGACGUAACUUUGCCUUGUGUGGCCCUAAUGAACAUAAGGUGGGCAAAGCUGCUGGAGCAUCCUCAUGCCAUGAUCUUCGAGGAGCAACAUCACAGUGCAGUGCCUUGUCAUGGUGGGGAAUGGCAUUGAGAGCUGCUGGCCACCAGGAAGGAGACAGAGGGAAGGUGACCAUCUUUCCAAAAUGGAGCAUGCAGCAGCUGCCUGUGAUGCUGCCUUGCAAAAGUGGUGGGGAAGUAUUUACAUUAUUAAACAUUGUGAUGACAAGUGUCUUGGGAUCUUGCAAGGCUGUAUUGCUAAGUAAGGCAACAAGCAAUGUAACUCCUGGCAUAUGUUGAAGUAACUAAAUGGAUCCAAUGACAAUUCAUUUUUUAAUAGAUGAAAGAGAAGCAGGCUUCAAAACAGAUAAUGAAUUUCUUCUAACUCGUCUGGAGACUGAAGAGCCAUAAUUCUGAUUGAUCAGAUAUGGUCUGCUUCAGAGAGGCACCAGAUGUGAUCCAGAUUUUAAAUAGAUGCUGCUACUGUCAAAAUGCAUUCGCUCCCUCCUGGUAUAACAAAGUAAAGUCCAUCUGUCUGGAGUUGUGCACUUUUUUUAGUGGUAAUAACAGUUAACAUCAACAAUAA
Chiroxiphia lanceolata (lance-tailed manakin) is the source of this 649-nucleotide long non-coding RNA. RefSeq lists it as uncharacterized. The record is from RefSeq and is a predicted model, not a curated record. The transcript has 3 exons. Lineage: Eukaryota; Metazoa; Chordata; Aves; Passeriformes; Pipridae.